CAGCCGCCACGGGAAUACGGAGGGAGCUAGCGUUGUUCGGAAUCACUGGGCGUAAAGCGCACGUAGGCGGCUAUUCAAGUCAGGGGUGAAAGCCCGGGGCUCAACCCCGGAACUGCCUUUGAAACUAGAUAGCUUGAAUCUUGGAGAGGCGAGUGGAAUUCCGAGUGUAGAGGUGAAAUUCGUAGAUAUUCGGGAGAACACCAGUGGCGAAGGCGACUCGCUGGACAAGUAUUGACGCUGAGGUGCGAAAGCGUGGGGAGCGAACAGGAUUAGAUACCCCAGUAGUCCCUGUCUCUUAUCC
Molecule: ribosomal RNA, 301 nt
Filed under: uncultured bacterium
Lineage: Bacteria
Description: partial 16S ribosomal RNA
Rfam family: Bacterial small subunit ribosomal RNA
Source: RNAcentral